This is a long non-coding RNA of Cervus elaphus (red deer), 464 nucleotides long. RefSeq lists it as uncharacterized. The transcript is spliced from 2 exons. The record is from RefSeq and is a predicted model, not a curated record. Lineage: Eukaryota; Metazoa; Chordata; Mammalia; Artiodactyla; Cervidae.
CGCAGGUUGCGUGUGCCCCGCGCUGGGGGGCAGGCGGAGAAAGGGCCGAAGAUAGAAGGCGAGACCCUCUCGACCCACCUGCUGACCGGCCAGCAGAGUCCCCCUCUCCUCUCCGGGCCCAGGGCCCUAACACCUUCCUCCUCUCCACCAGCCAGCUCUGCCCGCCAGCCGGCCCCCGCAUGGCCCAGGAGAUUCUGGGCAUCGUACCUGCCACCACGGGUUCUAGGGGCAGAACUCUCCCUCUGGCAGCUCUGGAAUUCAAGGCAGGCUGGUGGCAACAGCGCCAGACACAGAAGAGAGUGGGUCCUUCCAAGGACCACGCCCUGGCUGGAUGCUGGGCUUCUUCCUGGUUUCCUCACCCUGUCUGGGCCCACGGAGAGCAAGAUGCAGGGCUGGGGCAGUUAGCAGGUGGGACUGUUCAGGGUGAUCUCCUCCUUUCAUUAAAAUAUUCUCCAGAUGGGAAA